CAAGACGAUAUCAGUGCAAGCCCAGGAUCAGAACCGUGGCAACUGUCAAGUGAGUCCUUAAGUAUUUAAGAAAAACUUAAGGAUAGAUUCCUCAAAAAAUGAGGAAGAAUUAGAGUAACGUAAUGGAAGCGUAAAUGUAUUAGAUUAUGAAUCUGAUCCAUCAUUGGAUGUUUCUUCAUUAUGAAUGAAGAGAUAAACAAAUAUCUCUUUAUUAUGACUAAAGAGAUAUU
Molecule: long non-coding RNA, 230 nt
Filed under: Malus domestica (apple)
Lineage: Eukaryota; Viridiplantae; Streptophyta; Magnoliopsida; Rosales; Rosaceae
Description: long non-coding RNA (MDOM_LNC005949)
Source: RNAcentral